This 317-nucleotide ribosomal RNA is filed under the name uncultured bacterium. Its description in RNAcentral is "bacterial SSU rRNA". It matches the Rfam family "Bacterial small subunit ribosomal RNA", at positions 29 to 351 of the family's 1533-position model. The record is from RNAcentral.
AAUGAACGCUGGCGGCGCGCUUAACACAUGCAAGUCGAACGAGAACGUUCCUUCGGGAAUUAGUAAAGUGGCAAACGGGUGAGAAACGCGUGGGUAUCUUCCUGUUGGUGAAGGAUACCCCCGGGAAACUGGGGUUAAUCCUGCAUAAGCUCUUCGGAGGAAAGGUGGCCUCUUUGCUACCGCCGACAGAUGAACCUGCGUCUUAUUAGCUAGUUGGUGAGGUAAUGGCCCACCAAGGCGAAGAUGGGGUAGCCGGCCUGAGAGGGUGUCCGGCCACACUGGGACUGAGAUACGGCCCAGACUCCUACGGGAGGCAG